UACGGGGGGGGCAAGCGUUGUUCGGAAUUACUGGGCGUAAAGGGCUCGUAGGUGGCCAACUAAGUCGGACGUGAAAUCCCUCGGCUUAACCGGGGAACUGCGUCCGAUACUGGUUGGCUUGAGUUUGGGAGAGGGAUGCGGAAUUCCUGGUGUAGCGGUGAAAUGCGCAGAUAUCAGGAGGAACACCAAUGGCGAAGGCAGCACUCUGGGACGUGACUGACGCUGAGACGCGAAAGCGUGGGGAGCAAACAGG
Molecule: ribosomal RNA, 253 nt
Filed under: uncultured bacterium
Lineage: Bacteria
Description: partial 16S ribosomal RNA
Rfam family: Bacterial small subunit ribosomal RNA
Source: RNAcentral